CUGGGUUUGACAUGCACAGGACGCCGGUAGAGAUAUCGGUUCCCUUGUGGCCUGUGUGCAGGUGGUGCAUGGCUGUCGUCAGCUCGUGUCGUGAGAUGUUGGGUUAAGUCCCGCAACGAGCGCAACCCUUGUCUCAUGUUGCCAGCGCGUUAUGGCGGGGACUCGUGAGAGACUGCCGGGGUCAACUCGGAGGAAGGUGGGGAUGACGUCAAGUCAUCAUGCCCCUUAUGUCCAGGGCUUCACACAUGCUACAAUGGCCGGUACAAAGGGCUGCGAUGCCGUGAGGCUUAGCGAAUCCUUGAAAGCCGGUCUCAGUUCGGAUCGGGGUCUGCAACUCGACCCCGUGAAGUCGGAGUCGCUAGUAAUCGCAGAUCAGCAACGCCGCGGUGAAUACGUUCCC
Molecule: ribosomal RNA, 400 nt
Filed under: uncultured bacterium
Lineage: Bacteria
Description: bacterial SSU rRNA
Rfam family: Bacterial small subunit ribosomal RNA
Source: RNAcentral